This is a small nucleolar RNA of Dioscorea cayenensis subsp. rotundata (Guinea yam), 107 nucleotides long. The record is from RefSeq and is a predicted model, not a curated record. NCBI's taxonomy places the organism in Eukaryota, Viridiplantae, Streptophyta, Magnoliopsida, Dioscoreales, Dioscoreaceae.
AAGUUAUGAUGCGGGUAUUUCCUUAGAAAAUCUUUAAAUCUCUCCCAUGCUUUAAAUAAUGAUUUAGUAUCCAACUGUGCAUAAACUGUAAUUUCUUGACGGAACUU